RNAcentral lists this ribosomal RNA (497 nucleotides) under uncultured bacterium. RNAcentral describes it as "partial 16S ribosomal RNA". It matches the Rfam family "Bacterial small subunit ribosomal RNA", at positions 28 to 507 of the family's 1533-position model. The record is from RNAcentral.
GAUGAACGCUGGCGGCGUGCCUAAUACAUGCAAGUCGAGCGAACGGACGAGAAGCUUGCUUCUCUGAUGUUAGCGGCGGACGGGUGAGUAACACGUGGAUAACCUACCUAUAAGACUGGGAUAACUUCGGGAAACCGGAGCUAAUACUGGAUAAUAUUUUGAACCGCAUGGUUCAAAAGUAAAAGACGGUCUUGCUGUCACUUAUAGAUGGAUCCGCGCUGCAUUAGCUAGUUGGUAAGGUAACGGCUUACCAAGGCAACGAUGCAUAGCCGACCUGAGAGGGUGAUCGGCCACACUGGAACUGAGACACGGUCCAGACUACUACGGGAGGCAGCAGUAGGGAAUCUUCCGCAAUAGGCGAAGGCCUGACGGAGCAACGCCGCGUGGGUGAUGAAGGUCUUCGGAUCGUAAAACUCUGUUAUUGGGGAAGAACAUAUGUGUAAGUAACUGUGCACAUCUUGACGGUACCUAAUCAGAAAGCCACGGCUAACUACGUG